Molecule: ribosomal RNA, 110 nt
Filed under: Salmonella enterica subsp. enterica
Lineage: Bacteria; Pseudomonadati; Pseudomonadota; Gammaproteobacteria; Enterobacterales; Enterobacteriaceae
Also listed under: 1 other name
Description: partial 16S ribosomal RNA
Rfam family: Bacterial small subunit ribosomal RNA
Source: RNAcentral
AAAUUGAAGAGUUUGAUCAUGGCUCAGAUUGAACGCUGGCGGCAGGCCUAACACAUGCAAGUCGAACGGUAACAGGAAGCAGCUUGCUGCUUUGUUGACGAGUGGCGGAC